This 85-nucleotide non-coding RNA is filed under the name Leucobacter sp. UCD-THU. Its description in RNAcentral is "ZMP/ZTP riboswitch aptamer (pfl RNA motif)". It matches the Rfam family "ZMP/ZTP riboswitch aptamer (pfl RNA motif)". Rfam says of the family: Previously known as pfl RNA. RNAcentral also lists the same sequence under 1 other name. The record is from Rfam by way of RNAcentral. Lineage: Bacteria; Bacillati; Actinomycetota; Actinomycetes; Micrococcales; Microbacteriaceae.
GAUGGCUGUCGUGACUGGCGUGCAGAUGGGACACCAUCGGGGAACGACGUUUCGCAUCAAUUGGCCGCUCGCCUGGGUCGUAUUU